ACCGGCGCACGGGUGCGCACCGCGUAUGGAACCUACCUUUUACAGAGGGAUAGCCCAGGGAAACUUGGAUUAAUACCUCAUGGUAUCAUUUUUUAGCAUUAUUAAAUGAUUAAAGACUUCGGUCGGUAAAAGAUGGCCAUGCGUCCCAUUAGCUAGAUGGUAAGGUAACGGCUUACCAUGGCUACGAUGGGUAGGGGCCCUGAGAGGGGGAUCCCCCACACUGGUACUGAGACACGGACCAGACUCCUACGGGAGGCAGCAGUGAGGAAUAUUGGACAAUGGAGGAGACUCUGAUCCAGCCAUGCCGCGUGCAGGAAGAAUGCCCUAUGGGUAGUAAACUGCUUUUAUACAGGAAGAAAAAAGAGUACGUGUACUCUACUGACGGUACUGUAAGAAUAAGGACCGGCUAACUCCGUGCCAGCAGCCGCGGUAAUACGGAGGGUCCGAGCGUUAUCCGGAAUUAUUGGGUUUAAAGGGUCCGUAGGCGGGUCAAUAAGUCAGGGGUGAAAGUUUGCAGCUCAACUGUAAAAUUGCCUUUGAUACUGUUGGUCUUGAGUUAUAGUGAAGUUGCCGGAAUAUGUAGUGUAGCGGUGAAAUGCAUAGAUAUUACAUAGAACACCGAUUGCGAAGGCAGGUGACUAACUAUAUACUGACGCUGAUGGACGAAAGCGUGGGGAGCGAACAGGAUUAGAUACCCUGGUAGUCCACGCCGUAAACGAUGGAUACUAGCUGUCCGAGACCUUGAGUCUUGGGCGGCCAAGCGAAAGUGAUAAGUAUCCCACCUGGGGAGUACGUUCGCAAGAAUGAAACUCAAAGGAAUUGACGGGGGCCCGCACAAGCGGUGGAGCAUGUGGUUUAAUUCGAUGAUACGCGAGGAACCUUACCAGGGCUUAAAUGUAGAUUGACAGGACUAGAGAUAGUUUUUCCUUCGGGCAAUUUACAAGGUGCUGCAUGGUUGUCGUCAGCUCGUGCCGUGAGGUGUCAGGUUAAGUCCUAUAACGAGCGCAACCCCUGCCGUUAGUUGCCAGCAUGUUAAGAUGGGGACUCUAACGGGACUGCCGGUGCAAACCGUGAGGAAGGUGGGGAUGACGUCAAAUCAUCACGGCCCUUACGUCCUGGGCCACACACGUGCUACAAUGGUCGGUACAGAGAGCAGCCAUGUUGCAAGACAGAGCGAAUCUAUAAAACCGAUCACAGUUCGGAUCGGGGUCUGCAACUCGACCCCGUGAAGCUGGAAUCGCUAGUAAUCGGAUAUCAGCCAUGAUCCGGUGAAUACGUUCCCGGGCCUUGUACACACCGCCCGUCAAGCCAUGGAAGCCGGGAGUGCCUGAA
This 1332-nucleotide ribosomal RNA is filed under the name Maribacter vaceletii. RNAcentral describes it as "16S ribosomal RNA". It matches the Rfam family "Bacterial small subunit ribosomal RNA", at positions 94 to 1425 of the family's 1533-position model. Lineage: Bacteria; Pseudomonadati; Bacteroidota; Flavobacteriia; Flavobacteriales; Flavobacteriaceae. The record is from RNAcentral.